This 76-nucleotide transfer RNA is filed under the name Clostridia bacterium. Its description in RNAcentral is "tRNA-Thr". It matches the Rfam family "tRNA". Rfam says of the family: Transfer RNA (tRNA) molecules are approximately 80 nucleotides in length. Their secondary structure includes four short double-helical elements and three loops (D, anti-codon, and T loops). Lineage: Bacteria; Bacillati; Bacillota; Clostridia. The record is from RNAcentral.
GCUGGUGUAGCUCAGUUGGUAGAGCAGCUGAUUUGUAAUCAGCAGGUCAGGGGUUCACGUCCGUUCACCAGCUCCA